RNAcentral lists this long non-coding RNA (222 nucleotides) under Lathyrus oleraceus (garden pea). RNAcentral describes it as "Pisum sativum (pea) long non-coding RNA (PSAT_LNC023493)". The record is from RNAcentral. Lineage: Eukaryota; Viridiplantae; Streptophyta; Magnoliopsida; Fabales; Fabaceae.
AUGGAGAAAGUCGUUUAUGGGACAAUGCUAAAAUUGAUAGAGAUGUUCGCAUUAUGAUGCACAGUUCUGAGAAAAUUGUCCUGAUGGUUGUAAUCGCAUAGUUAUAUUGUUUAGUCCUUGUAUUUGUUUGUCUUGUUGUUUAAAUUAUUGUUUACUUGUUAUUUAAAUUUUUGUAACUGAAUGUUAUGAUAUUUAUGAAAUGAAUGUUGCUUUCAAUAUAAA